RNAcentral lists this non-coding RNA (256 nucleotides) under Dipodomys ordii (Ord's kangaroo rat). RNAcentral describes it as "Bacterial small subunit ribosomal RNA". It matches the Rfam family "Bacterial small subunit ribosomal RNA", at positions 1254 to 1533 of the family's 1533-position model. The record is from Rfam by way of RNAcentral. Lineage: Eukaryota; Metazoa; Chordata; Mammalia; Rodentia; Heteromyidae.
GAGCGAAAUGGGCUACAUUUUCUAUUACUAGAACAUUACGAAACUCUACGUGAAAUCCGUAGAAUAAAGGAGGAUUUAGUAGUAAAUUAAAACUAGAGUGUUUAUUGAAUAGAGCAAUGAAGCACGCACACACCGCCCGUCACCCUCCUCAAUUUCUCAACAAUUAAAAGUACAUAACACUAAUUACAAAAGAUUGAGAGGAGACAAGUCGUAACAAGGUAAGUGUACUGGAAAGUGCACUUGGAAAAAUCAAAAU